Molecule: ribosomal RNA, 491 nt
Filed under: uncultured bacterium
Lineage: Bacteria
Description: partial 16S ribosomal RNA
Rfam family: Bacterial small subunit ribosomal RNA
Source: RNAcentral
AGUGAACGCUGGCGGUAGGCCUAACACAUGCAAGUCGAACGGCAGCACAGUAAGAGCUUGCUCUUACGGGUGGCGAGUGGCGGACGGGUGAGGAAUACAUCGGAAUCUACUUUUUCGUGGGGGAUAACGUAGGGAAACUUACGCUAAUACCGCAUACGACCUACGGGUGAAAGCAGGGGAUCUUCGGACCUUGCGCGAUUGAAUGAGCCGAUGUCGGAUUAGCUAGUUGGCGGGGUAAAGGCCAACCAAGGCGACGAUCCGUAGCUGGUCUGAGAGGAUGUACAGUCACACUGGAGCUGAGACACGGUCCAGACUCCUACGGGAGGCAGCAGUGGGGAAUAUUGGACGAUGUGCGCAAGCCUGAUCCAGCCAUGCCGCGUGGGUGAAGAAGGCCUUCGGGUUGGAAAGCCCUUUUGUUGGGAAAGAAAAGCAGCAGGUUAAUACCCCGCUGUUCUGACGGUACCCAAAGAGUAAGCACCGGCUAACUUCGU